RNAcentral lists this transfer RNA (67 nucleotides) under Monistria discrepans. RNAcentral's name for it is "tRNA-His". Lineage: Eukaryota; Metazoa; Arthropoda; Insecta; Orthoptera; Pyrgomorphidae. The record is from RNAcentral.
GUUUAAGUAUUUUAAUAAAAAUAUUGACUUGUGGAGUCAUUGAUAUGAAUAAAUUUCAUCUUAGAUC